Molecule: unclassified non-coding RNA, 376 nt
Filed under: soil metagenome
Description: partial contains 5.8S ribosomal RNA, internal transcribed spacer 2, and large subunit ribosomal RNA
Rfam family: 5.8S ribosomal RNA (bases 1-120)
Source: RNAcentral
GAUGAAGAACGCAGCGAAAUGCGAUAAGUAAUGUGAAUUGCAGAAUUCAGUGAAUCAUCGAAUCUUUGAACGCUUCUUGCGCUCCUUGGUAUUCUGAGGAGCAUGCCUGUUUGAGUGUCAUUAAAUUCUCAACUACACUGACUUUGAAUUGGUGUGGCUUGGAUUUGGGGGGAAAAUUGUUGUGGGCUUUUUGUAUAGUCUGCUCCCCUGAAAUUGAUUAGCGGUACCUUUGUGGAACUGUCUACAGGUGUGAUAAUUAUCUACAUCCUAGACAUCUGCUGGAAUGCUGCUUUCUAAACCUUACUUGUAUUGACAAUCUUGACCUCAAAUCAGGUAGGACUACCCGCUGAACUUAAGCAUAUCAAUAAGCGGAGGA